This 5000-nucleotide long non-coding RNA is filed under the name Podarcis lilfordi (Lilford's wall lizard). The record is from RNAcentral. Lineage: Eukaryota; Metazoa; Chordata; Lepidosauria; Squamata; Lacertidae.
AUGGUGGUGCAGGCAGCCGUGACACCAACCAGGAGCCGAAAAUUUCUCUUCAAAAUACCAUAUGGAUCUCUGAGAAGACACAGUGCAGAAAGGGUAAGCAGCUAUUUUUUGUGUACAUAUUAUCUCACACACACACACCCCCGGUGGAUAUAUCCUGCUCCCCCUUUAUACCCAUGAUGCUUUAACCUUAGGCUAUCAUAAGGUAUCAAAGCCAAGUGAUGCCUUUAUAUGGUGAUGCAAUGCAGACAGCCAAGCAAGCUGACUACAUAUAAUAAUAACUAAAACUGGUUGGAAGUUGCAGGCUUGAUAGCAUAAAACUUAUGUGGGCUAUUCUGGUCUUUAUGCCAAAUCAGUAGUUAUGAUUUACUGGUUGUGGCUGUAUGCUAAUAACCACUAAUGAAGAUUAGCUAAAAUUGUAAUCAGUAUUAGUGCCGGUUGGCCAUGAUUUAUUAUGGUAACUGGCGCUAAUGGAAUUUCCCUUACAGUGCCAAGUGAUCGAUAUUGGGCAGGGCUAUAGGAAGAUGAAGAGUGGUAGUCAAGGCUAGAACGGGUAGGGAGGGCAGCUAAUCUGUAUUCCUGGAGGUUCUAAGGCAGCAACUACUGCUUUGGGAUACAAGAUGAUGUAUAGGAUUAUUCCAUUCUAGAAGCAAUGUAUGAAGUAGGACUUAGAAAGGUUCUGAAAUACGAAGCAAUGUGCAUUAUUUAGCUUGAAGUUCAAGUUUACUUGGGAAAUGUCCUAUAGUUCACCUUGUUGCUUUACACUGUCCUCAGGAAGUGGUUGCCAGCUACUGGAUAGUUGUAGAUCCUCAUAUAUUCAGGCCAGGCGUGCCACCUUGCCCCCGUGACAGCGGGUGACCGGGGCAUGUGCAUGCAGCUGUGUGAUGUUGGCAUGCCUGUGGUGUGCCGAUGUCACUUGCAGAAAUCACAGGGGCGUGCCAACAUGACAUACACAUGCCCCACAGUGUGCACAUGCCGCCAAGUGGAGUGAGGGGGCAGCCCUUUCAUUUAAAUUUUGUGGUUGCCUGGGCACCUAAGGCCAAACAUAGUCUGCACUUAUGAUUCAGGCUAACAUACUGAUUACGAGGCACAAGCUUUUGUGGGCUUAGGCCAUAAUAAAUGGCCAAAUCUUUUAAAGUGCCACAGCUCUCUUCUUUACUUUUUGGCUACUCCCCCCCCCCCCACUACCACUGCUGUAGUGGGGUAUUUUGUUAUACACAAGAGCCAUGUUGGGGACCUGCAGAGGAGACCUGUUUCAAUAUGCAGAUCUUUUGAUAGGUAUUUCUUUUGAUCUAUAUGGAAUUACACUGAAAGAGGAGUACUCAUGCUUCUCAUGCCCCUUCGUAGAAUCUAGAGCAGGGUUUCCCAAAUUUGGGUCGUCACCUGUUUUUGGAUUACAACUCCCAUAAUCCCUAGCUAGCAGGUCCAUUAGUAUCAAAUGCGUGAGCAGGGCUCAUUUUCACUGUGUGAUUUUUGUGUGAGGAAGGAAAGGUGAAAAGUAGGCAAUUCCUUGAAAAAGUGAAGGCAGUGUCCACCUGAGCAUCUGUAUAUGAGUGUUGGGGAAGGAGGAUUUGCUUUGUGGAAAACUGCAAUGUUAAGGCAGCUUCGGUAUGAUUCAGUUCUGUGCAAAAUCUGAAGGUGUUGCAGCUCCUUUGUGUUCAGCAGUGGUGGCUUUAUAAUACUUGGUUGCUGCUACUGAAUGAUAACUGAGAGGAGGGUGCUUGCUUGCAAAUGGAUGGCAGCAGUGGAGAGGGGGCAGAUGUCUUCAUAGUGCACCUAGGCAGGGGUUCUCCAAGGCCAGCACACGUCCCUAUGGGUGAUGCCAUUAGUGGUGGAUGCUGAUCUCUGAGGACCAUUCCUCAGGCACACCACACUAGUGCCUGUGCUGUCUUAUCUCCUUUUACCUCCCUCCCACCCACCAUUCUCUGGCUAUCUCUGCAAUGUUUUAGCAUGCUCCUCUCCACAUUGGUUUCUGUUCAAUAUCACCCAAGCAUCACAGUGAAAUAGCACAAUGAAAGAAGGAGAGCUCUGCAUGUGUGCAGCCAUGAAACAGCUGGGCAGAAGAGAGGCAAUGACCUAAUAAAAACUGAGUGAGUAAAUUCAGAGCUUUGGGUUAAUUAUGCUGUGAACUGUCCAAAAACCUAGAAGACAUAUGAGUUGAGACUGGAACACAGUGCUAACCUAUCCAAGAUCCAGGAGCCUCGGGCAGUGGGGCUGCCCUCUGCAAACAUGGCAGCUGUGCAGCAACUGCCAAGCUUGUCACAUCCUGCCGUUGUUUCAUGGCUUUUGCUCAGUUAGAGCAGCUGAGCACCACUGCACACUCGUGACUUUGUGAGGGAAACCAUCAAUGUCAUGAAGCUGAUUAAGCAGGGUUCCCAAGGAGACAAAACCUUGAACCUCAGUCAUCUGGCUAAAAGGGGUCUGAUCAAAAGGACCUUUUCCUAACAACAUGCUUCUUUCAUUCCCUUCUUUUAAAAAAUAGCACAUUAGUAGGCGAAAGGAAGGUUUUGAAUUCUUAUUUUAGGGAGGGAGGGAGGGAGGGGAGAGAGAGAGAGAGAGAGAGAGAGGAAAGAAUUUUUAUUUUAGUGUUUCUAGCAAGGCUUCUGUGCAUUUAGCAAGGUUUCCAGAAAAGGUGGCAAUCACCUUCCAAAGGCAUAUGUGUCAGGGAGCCAACCAGCAAUAAAUCACAUGGGGUAUGUAAGUUCACUCUUUAUUGGCGGAAACUAGGCCUGCUCAGGUAAGCCUGGCCUAAUGAGCACAGCGACUCUUCUUGGUAGGUCUUGCCCCUCUGGGGCAGUUGUGGAGGCUGAAGAUCCCCGCCUUCCCACAGCUACCUAAAUCUCUUCCUCCUCCAGGUCCUUCCUACAUAGUCUGCAUCUAUGCCAACAGGCCUGUUUCUAGGGGAGGGGGAGACACCUUGACUUCUUCACCAGCUUGCCCCACUUCUGCCUCUUGGUUUCCCUCCUCUGCUCACUGAGCCCCGUUACCUCUUCAGCUCCCCCCUCCUCCCAGUCUUCUCCCUCUGACCACUCAUUGUUGUCCCACCACCAAUCCCUGGACUCUGAGCCUUCUUCCCCUGGGGCUUUCCCAACUGCUUCCUCCCCCCACGCCUCUGUGUCCAGCCAGUCCAUGACAUCAUAUCAUCUUAAAAUAAAACUCUAGAGAUUGGGAAGCCAGAAAAUCCAAAUAAAACCAGGCUUGUGAAGUUAUGGUCAGGAUGGCCUUUGAACUGCCAUGGUUCUUUGUGUUAAAGUUUGUGAAAUUGCAAAGUGAGGUGAAUAAAGCCCGAGCAAUGUUCUGUUCUCAGUUAUAUGAAUGAACCUUCUUCUGGCGUGUUCAUUAAUGCCUUUCCCAUUGAGCCAGAUGCUUACCUGAGUAAACCUUAAGGAGAUAAAUGGCACACAGAGGAUGGCGGGCAGAGGAUCAACUUGCAUUAGUUUCACGAAUGUUUGCAUGGCAUUUAAAAAGAGACAACAAACACCAGCGCCUUAACUGUCCCUGACUGACCCUCCAUCUGGACAGCAUUAAUUAGCUGAUUACUUCCUCCCACUAUGGGGAGGAAGAGGAGAAGGAAAGAUCAGGGGAGAGGUUUCAGAAGUCAUCUGAGGAGAAACGGCUCCUGCCAUUUAGGGAUGUGGGAGAAAUUCAACAGAUUUAAUGAAAAACUACCUGAUCCACAUUUCUUGAACCUCUACAGGAAGCACACAUAUUCUUCAAAAUUCACACUUCUCCAAAUUUUGUGAUGCAGUUCUCCAGUUGAACAAUGUGGCAAAAAUUGCAUAUAUUGGUGAAAAUAACACAGCAUGCAUUAUAUUAGCAAAAAUUCAAUGAAAAAAAGUUUAUUAGUGAAAAUUGCAUGCUAAAAUCUCUAUAUUAGAAGAAAUUUGCACUUUAGUGCUGACAAAUUUUCAGGAGGCUUUUAAAAAAUCGCCAUUUCCCAUGGAAAUGUGUAGAACUGAAUUAAGAUGGGGAAAAUUAGAAAUUGAGAGAAACCAACAUUGCAGUCAUCCAUCCCUAUUUCUCUCUGUGUGUGAAUGUGCAUGUAUCUGUAUAUUCAUAGAAGAAACAUUUGAUUGUGUAGAAGUAGACAUUUGCUCUGAAAAAUAGCAUGUAUUUGGGAAAGAUUGGUAAAAUAAGCUGGGGCCAUCAAGCUAAAUGAAAGGCAUAAUCUUGGGACCACUGCCAAGUAGGGAUGGGAAAAAAUUUUGCGCAAGCAGGAAGUGUGGCCUUUACUCCCCUUUCUUUCUUUUGCAAUGUACGACCAGAUUAACUUUUUCCACUCACAUAUGGCUUUUUGGGAACUCUUUUUGUUGUGGGAGUGUGGAGGCCAAUCACUUAAAAUAUGUAAUAGUUACGUAAUGUCCACAUUUGUUUUGGAAUCUCAGUUUUAAUGUUUUUCACAUACUGUAGCACUUUUGCAUUUUGUAUGUUUGAUGCGGCUUCCCAGAGUGCAGCGUGGGGUGUGGCUCUUUUCUGUGUAGUCCUGUCUGCCUUUUGUAUUCUUCUGGGGUGGGAGUGCUGUUGUUCAUCUCUAGCCUUAGGGCGGGCUACGCAACAUCUCCCAUUGGAAUAGCCUCAUAUAUCAAAGAGAUUUUCUGUUUGUGCUGCUGGCUGCUUGUGUUUUGGGGCUGUUUGACUACUCUUUUCCACUGAGGUUUGCAUGACUUUUGCCACCAUAUCUCAUGCCCACCCCCACCCCCACCCCAGUUUGCACCUGCCCAGCUGCCCUCCCGCUCCUUCCACUUGCCCAGUAGCCACCCAUCAUGUGCCCCAGCACUAGCCUGUUCAGUAGUCGCACAGCAAGCAAAGGGGCUCCUCUGGUACCAUCUUUUCCGUAUCCUGGAGGAACGGAGUAUGCGAAGACUGCAGCCGUAGGAAUGUCCAAGCUGGGGAAGCCUGAAUGGCUGCCAGAAUAAUAAUUAUUUCCCCCCACAUUAGGAUUGGGAGCGGUCGGCCAUGUGAUAACACUGCCACUGUUCCAUUCAUGUGUGGAAAGAAUAUAU